RNAcentral lists this ribosomal RNA (451 nucleotides) under uncultured bacterium. Its description in RNAcentral is "SSU rRNA". It matches the Rfam family "Bacterial small subunit ribosomal RNA", at positions 26 to 518 of the family's 1533-position model. The record is from RNAcentral.
AGAACGAACGCUGGCGGCAGGCUUAACACAUGCAAGUCGAACGCCCCGCAAGGGGAGUGGCAGACGGGUGAGUAACGCGUGGGAAUCUACCCAGUUCUACGGAAUAACACAGGGAAACUUGUGCUAAUACCGUAUACGCCCUACGGGGAAAGAUUUAUCGGGAUUGGAUGAGCCCGCGUUGGAUUAGCUAGUUGGUGGGGUAAUGGCCUACCAAGGCGACGAUCCAUAGCUGGUCUGAGAGGAUGGUCAGCCACAUUGGAACUGAGACACUGUCCAGACUCCUACGGGAGGCUGCAGUCGAGAAUCUUGGGCAAUGCACGAAAGUGUGACCCAGCGACGCCGCGUGGAGGAUGAAGGCCCUUGGGUUGUAAACUCCUUUUGUGAGGGAGAAUGCCGAAAGGCUUGACGGUACUCGCGAAUAAGCCACGGCUAACUACGUGCCAGCAGCCGC